GAAGACAGUGCCAUGAAUCUCAGGACCAUGAAUUGAUGUGAUGUCAGUAACAUCCUCAAUAAUAGGCCUAGGGACAGAAGAUCCAGGUUGGGAACUCCCGUCCUUGACCUCUAUUGGAAUCUCCCUUACAUCCUUAGGAUGAGAAACCCGGGGAAUGCUGCUGGAAACCCCAUGAGAACCUCCUCCUCCAAUGAAGUUCCGACGAAAAUUU
RNAcentral lists this unclassified non-coding RNA (211 nucleotides) under Hevea brasiliensis (rubber tree). Lineage: Eukaryota; Viridiplantae; Streptophyta; Magnoliopsida; Malpighiales; Euphorbiaceae. The record is from RNAcentral.